This is a long non-coding RNA of Platichthys flesus (European flounder), 3217 nucleotides long. RefSeq lists it as uncharacterized. The record is from RefSeq and is a predicted model, not a curated record. NCBI's taxonomy places the organism in Eukaryota, Metazoa, Chordata, Actinopteri, Pleuronectiformes, Pleuronectidae. The transcript is spliced from 4 exons.
CACUAUGAAUGGAGGAGCAGCAGAGGAGAGCCCGCCCGGUGCAGGAGUGAAGAAAGUUCAGAGCGGGGCAGAGGAGGAGCGCACAUGGCUCCCAGAGGGUCGGGAUGGCUGUUAUUACGCACGGCAGCGACACGUUUGAAAGUGAAAGAGAGAGAGAGAGAGAGAGAGAGAGAGAGCUGUCAGGCGAACAAUCCGUGCACAUGCGCGUCUCAGCCAACUUUACUGAGUUUUGAAAAAAGAAAAGUGAAAGACAGGACGUGUUGAGCGCCAGUGACGAUGAGGGGUUUUCAGAGGAGACCUUCUGAUGAAGAGGAGGAUGAGGACUGACAAACAGACUGAUCUGACAAGCAGGUUUCCACCACGUCGAGGCGGAGGGGAAACCACCGAGACCAUCUGAUGAUGUGCUGCUGAGGCGGUUUGGGGGAAUGACAUCAUGAGAUGGGUUGACUGGUGGGCGCAGACCGCAGCCGGAGGCAGAAGAGCUGCUGGGGUUGUGAGGCGAGGUUUGCAGAUGCUGCUUUAAAAAAAACACACACAAAUUUGCUGUGGAUUUUGUGAAGAAUUUGUUGAAAUGUUGAAGGGAAGAAUCCAUUCAUGAGGUCUGAGGGGGCCGUGAGGAAGGAUUGUGUUGUUUCUCUGCACCAGAUGACCAUUAAACACCUGCAGGAUUUUCCAAGUGCUCCACGCCCAGUGAGGUACAUCCUGAAUGCUGGUGACCACAGGAAGUAACACACAAGUCAAAGAUAGCGUAGACUCUGAAGGCGAGUGGGUUUAACAUUAGUUAUUUAUCAUAAAACCAGUUGCUGUGAGGCUUUAUCUUCAAAUGUUGAAUCAUUAAGGGACUUAGAGUGAAAGAGGAACUAAGGGUGAUGGACUUUACAUGUAGGUAAGUUAAGUUAAGUGUAAUAUGUAUUUUUUUAUGUAUACAUAGUGAAAUAAAUAUUUUUUUAUUGUCAUGUCACUCGUGUUCCUGGAAGCUAAACACUUUAUAAAUAAAUCAGGCUUGAAGCUGACUUUUUGCUACAAAAAUAUACAAGGUGUUUGGAAUUAGAACAGUUUCUUAAACAAAGAAUUUAAUCUCAAGAACAAACAUUAAACCAACAGACACUGAGGUGUGAGUCGCUCAUCACAGGGAAGCAAGCGGAUCUGGAAAGUUCUGAUUGUAAACACUGGUGCUCACAGAUGAUCCAUUGAUCUGUCAAGUUAAUAACAGUCGUACAAUUUGUGCAGAAUCUUUUUUCCAAACAAUAGAAAAGACAGAUUUUAUUCACAUGUCCAUUAAACAUGUGUGUGUGUGUGUGUGUGUGUGUGUAGUAGCUAAUGCAUCUUCCCUUUAUUUUAAUAAUGCAUUUAAUAAAUUAAAUAACAAGUCAGUAUAUUCAGUGUAUAGAAACCAGGUCAUUGUGUACAGUCGGUGCAUCAAUGUAAUUUAAGGAUGUGAUUCAUGUUAUUUACAUUUUCUCAGUUAAUUAACUAUUAAAGGACAAAAUGUUAAGUUUCAAAAACUCCAAGUUAACGUCCUUAGUUUCUUUGUUUUUUCCAACACUUUUACAGACAGACUUAUGUUGACUUUUGCCGGCCAAUGCCAAUAAUGAUUUUAGAGAGUUAAAAAUGUCCACUACCGAUUUAUGGGCUAAUAUGUAUACAUCUAAAACGUUAAAUGUUGAAUUUAAAUUUACAGAUUAAUCAUAAACUUAUUUAUAAAUCAAAAAUCACAAAUAGAACCAAAUAUAUAGAACUUGAAAUAACAUAUUCAAUAUUUUACAACUUUUCCUCAAUGCUUAUUCUGUAAAAUAAACGUUUUCAUACCUUUGCAUACCAUUAUUUUUUAAUAUAUAUAUACAGUAUAUAAAUAUAUAUUAUAUUUUCUGUCUCAAGUGGAUCAAGUGUGUGGGACUGAUUGAAAGAAGAAAACAGAAAAUCAUUAAAUCUUAAUCAUCUCCAUUAAGCUUGUUAAAGUAAAUAUUAAAGUAACGUGAGGAAAAUGUGAUUUUCACAAUAGGAUCCCUCAGAGGGAAAGGUUCAUACAAUAUUAUUUAAGAGUACAAAAUAGAAAUAACUUCAUUGAUUAUAUUUGAACAGCCUCAUAGCUUCAAAAUUCAUAGUUUCAUAACCUAUGUUUGUUCCUGCUGAGGAACGCUCAGGGUCUGAAUCACGCAUAGGUCUGUUUACAGGUUUCAUAACCCUCAGGCUGUUGUCACACAGUAACACAAUAUUGUCUCAUUUCAAAAUGUGGUCACCAGUGUAAACAAGCGUCAUUCCUGAUAUUACUUACACAUUUUCCCCUCGAGAGAUUUUCCUGUUAUUCCCCAGAUGAACUGAAUUAUGUUCAUUCACAAAAAAAGACAAAAAUUAACAAAAAUGUUUUAAACCGGAGGGAAACUAAAUUAAAAUAAACUGUAUACUGCUUUUAACCGAGAGAAAGAACUGACCUGUGAUGACACAUGUUAGGAUGAGCUGAUCUGUCUGAGACACACAUACACACACACACACACACACACACACGUAUACACACUAUUCUCUGACUUGAUCUGCAUUAAUGUGAACGUGGCCUGAGACUGACUGUAAAUAAAAAUGGACGACAUGACGUCUCCCCUGAAGUGAAGCCAAAGCGUCUUGAUCCCUGCUGGUUGGCUGCUUAAUAGGUCAUGAGUCUCACCUCCUCCAUGUUAGCAGAUUGGACACGGUCAAACAUUAAGUACAUUUUUCUCAAAGAUUGUUUCUCAUCACUUUUUAAUUCGUUAUUUGAUGCUAUAAGCGAGGGUGAAACGUCUUGAUUGACAGCUGAGACUGACUCCUAAUUGGUCGGGCAUCUUUAUUUACAGUCUUUGUGAGAGACAUGUAACUUAGGGGAACUGUGCAGGUGCUCAAUCGCCCCCUGUAGGAGAGAAUAAGUUUGCAGAAAACCCCAAGAAUUAUUUAGUUUGAGACCUUUCAUAUAAAAACUUUUGAGUGUUUCUCCUUAAAUCCGUUUUAUGAUCAUAGCAACUUGUCAAAAGCCUGAAGGAAGCGUGUGUGUAUGUCUGGGCUUGAAAGAGAGCGUGUGAAAUAGGAAGAUGGGGACAAAACCUCGGACAGGAAAGAGUGUGUGUGAGAGAGGACAGAAGGAAAGAGAUAUUUAAAACUUCUAAAUUUUUUAUUUUGUUCAGUAAAGUUUAGCAGAAGUGAAUCCUGACUGUGAGAAAUUACAUUCCACCAAUAAAACGUCACACACUGA